Molecule: long non-coding RNA, 1584 nt
Organism: Gallus gallus (chicken)
Lineage: Eukaryota; Metazoa; Chordata; Aves; Galliformes; Phasianidae
Source: Ensembl
GUGUGUUUCUGUUGACAUCACCUCUAGAAGAACAGAAAGAUGAGACAGAAAAGUAUGAUUGCCUAACAUACAGUUUUGGAUCUUGUGGAAGUCUGGCUUUACAUGGCACAGAAGUGAUUUACAGUUCAUCCUACCGAGAAAAAGAACUUCUAGCCUUUGAUUCUGUCUACCUGAAAAGAGAAGACAACCAAACCUUCAGUGGUGUGUUCAAUUCCACAUAGGAAAUAAGAAGAAGAGAUAAGAUUCUUGGAUUCAUUUCUAGCAAAGGAGGAAAGAAAGACAAGCACAUAAUUGGGAGAUGUCAGAAGCCUAAAGCUUGUGAGAAUUAAUUUUGCAAAAGAAUCACGGAGCUUCAGCACAAGACUACUUCCCUACAACCUCCUCAUCCAGUAACUUUGAUCAAGCAUUUCUUCAGUGAGAUUUAAAGAACAGAUUACUUCAAGUGUAUUACAUGAAGCUGCAUAAGCCGAUUUAAGCCUGCAUCAUGCAUUUUGGAUAGUCUCCGAUGGAUCAAGACUUCAGGUUGUGUUAUAGAAUCAGCAAUAAUCUUAGACAUUUGACUUAAAUGUUUCCACUAUAGGAAUUUUUUCUGGAUGCUGAUUUGGAUCUCAAACAGAAGUCACCUAACAUGAAUGAGACCUUCGUGGAUCAUUUCGUUCUGUUUUACUCUGGAACAAAUAUAAGCAUGCUGAGAUCUAGAGACCUGGUGUUCCACUGUAAUUGGGUAUGCAUUUAAAUUAGAGAACUGUGAGCUGAAAGAUACUUAUUUUAGCAUCAUUUUCAGUUAGCCAGGGGAAAAUCUGCAAACCCUGUCUAACCAGCUGGGCCUGAAGAGCUUAGAGGUUGGAUGCACCACUGGCAGAUAUCACCAUUUUUUUUUUAAUGUUGGUAUUUUGUUUCUGCCACACCUCUAGCUGUAAAGCAUUGCAAAUAAAUCCUAUUAUUUUUUCUUCUUUUCUAAUGUAUUAUUUCCACACUUAUGAUUUCAGAAAGAUGCUAUUUCCAAAGUUUGGGUUUAAAGCUUAGCAUUUCUUGGAUGACACCUGUCUCAAUGUUUUAUCAUAUAUAUAGGUGAAUUUCCAUUUACAGCUUAGCUCUUGCAAUGCUACUUGUUUCAUCUUUGAAUUCAGUGUGUAUAUCUGCAUUGUUAAAAGAAGCUUCCCUUUCCCUCCUACCUUUUUAUUAUUAUUUUUGUUUAUUUUUCAUUUUUCUCUCUAAAAUGAAGCUUUUUUGGAAAGGAGAAAAAGAAGUUAAUCUCUUAACUCCAUCAUGUAACUAACGCUAGACAUGUUCAGAAUAUUUCAUGAAUCUUAGUAUAACUGGUGAAAUAGAUUUUUUUCUCUGAGGUUCUUUUCUUGAGUAUCAGGAACAGUAACAUUGUUACUAAGAUGCGGAUGAAGAACAGUUUAUGUUGCAUUAAUGUCAACGAGAAUUUCAAAAGUCUCUGUAGAACUAGCUAAUUGGGAAUGUUUACAGAAGCAAUUCUUAGAAAGAAAUUUUUCAUGUAAAACAGUUUCAUUAUUGUAAUAAAUGAACACAAAUAUGGGUUAUACUUUGCUCUUUAAAAGUAAUAAAAUUUUCUUU